RNAcentral lists this long non-coding RNA (5874 nucleotides) under Nicotiana benthamiana. Its description in RNAcentral is "long non-coding RNA (NBEN_LNC005844)". Lineage: Eukaryota; Viridiplantae; Streptophyta; Magnoliopsida; Solanales; Solanaceae. The record is from RNAcentral.
UACCCAUUAAAUAAAGAUGUCCGAAACUCAGGGUCAAACCCUAGAAGAUCAAACACUCCCUUCCUCGUACCCCUGUCCCUCUCCGCUUCCACCACUGUUCUUCGCCGAAACCCUCGCCGGCGGGAAUCGUAAUUUACGCUGUUGGCCACCAGAAAAACACCAUAGAUGCACAUUCUUCUCCUCUGUCCAAGACCCAUAGUCACUCCCCUCGAAUCUUACCCCAAUCCCUCGAAUAUCACAUCUAAGAUUUUUCGGCCGUGACAUAAGUUAGGCCAAACAGUCCCAAAUUUAUACCAUAGAAUCGCCUUGGCCUUUUCUACACGACUCCUAGACCUUUGGUCUCGAAUAUGGCCGGAAUGACUUGAACAUAGGUUUGAAUAUUUUCCAGCGAAUCUGGAUUUCAUCAAAUUUUCACAAAUUGGUGCCAUGGGGUUAUCCUCAUCUUUCUCUCAAGGAUUUCAGUGUCAUAAAAGAUCAAUUGACUGCCGAGGUUAGACGGUCAUGUGGCCAAUGAAGUCGUGAGUCCUUUCCCUCUAUUUUUUUAUAUGAGUUUUUUUGUCAAUUAAGAACUUGAAUGAAUCCCUUUUAAUUUUCAAUUAGUUAUCGUUUAUUUCAGCAUUAACUUGCAUGUUUCUUUAGAUUAGUUUGAUUUUUAUUGAUUGUUGUUUUUUCUGUUUGUUAGUCUAAUUAGUUCAAUAACUUAAUGAUGAGUUUGAUCGAAAUUAGUUCAAGUCCUGAUGUUGUUUAAGAAACAGGGUUAAGACUUUUGUGUGAUAAUAAUGGUGUUAGGGUAAGUUUUUAGUUUAGUCAAUUCUAAUUAGUAAUGAAAGGUGUGGGUUAGUUAGAGUUGUCAAAUUCAGAUUGAAGGUAGGAAAUUUUAGGCAUUCGUGAAUUAGAUAUCAAUACUAGAAUUCCUUGGAACCUUCUAGAGAGGGGUGCAAGAAUAUUGAGGAAGUUUGAAGUACCUUCUUCCAUAACAAGUUAAAUUAAGGGGUAAAAAGUAAAUCGAGUGAGGGACUAAAGACAGAUUUGGAAACUUGUUUGUUUCCUAUAAAAGAGGUCAUAUUUGCUUUGCUCAGGGGUUCUCUCAUUCAGCCAAUAUUAGUCCCAAAAACACUAUUUACACUCUAAUUUUUAGAUCUGGCUUUUUCAGAUUUCUAGCCAUUUUUUAUUUCCAAAACCAAACUUUCUCUAGGAUCAGCUUAUUGUCAGAUCUGAAGUAAGAAACUAAAAUUCAAAAACUAAAAAAAAAACUCAUAAAAAUCCAAAAAUAUUGUAUUGUUUCAUUGCCUUUUUUAAAUCGUGUUGAAGUUCCUGCUGAAUUCUUCAGUUUCUCAUAUAGUUUCGAGUCUAUUAAACAUCACUUAGAGGUUUUGGUAACUGGUUUGUAGGUAUUUUGGUCUAUUUGAGUUGUUUUACACCUAAGUUCAGUUUUGAAGACAUUUGGGUACAUUGCGAGUCAUUGUGUUGUUAUUUGGGUUAUUUGUUGAGGAGUGUGUGAAGUUUGGGUUUCAAUUUCAAGAUUAGUUGGUUAUACACAUGUCUGUGGUUGACUCUUAUGAUUUUAUUGGAUUUCAAAUCUAUUAUGAACAUCAAAACCAAGUUGUUGGGCUGUUUGAUUGAAUUUACUAGCUGUUGUUGCCGAUUCCUUGCUUCUAUUCUUUCCUUGUAUUCCAGGUACACAUUUGUACUCUCCAUGGAUUGUGAAAUGAAAUGAAGCAUGAUACGAGCCUCUGUUGCUGCCUAAUUAUUAAUAGCUACAGUUUUUAGUUUCAGUCAGUUGAUUGUUGCCUAAUUGUCAUUGUCUCUUGUUUUGAGUUGUAGUGGACAAGGACUUGCUUAAUUAGAAUUAUUUUCAGCUAAUGUAAACUUCCUGAAAAUUGACUUUAUGCAUAAGUUGUUCAUGUGGUUGAUAAUUGAGUGCUAGUGCAUUUAGAUCCAUGUAUGCAAUCGAAACAGCAGGCUAUUAGAUGGAUAUUUAUCAUUCAGUCAUGUUAUUGUAUAAUCUCCAUUGGCAUAGUUUAUUUUCAAAAAAAUAGUACUGAACUGGGAAUAGGGAAGUGGAUUUGGGAGGACUAGAAAUGUGUAAUGAUAGUUAGAGUUUGAACUGUUAGUUGGAAAUUUAGUUGCUCAUGUAUGUCAUUGCUUUUGUUCCCUUAGAUAUCCAUUUCAAUGGUUCAAUAUUAUUGGUGUUAACUUGAAUCAGUCUCAAUUUGCCUUAGGCUUCCAUGCACACCUAAGAUUAAACUUAGUAAAAAUUGAACACCUCGAGUAGAAUAAAAAAUUCAAUCGAUCAAUACAUUUGUCAAUUAAUGUAAUAAAUGCCGUUUGCUUUAUAGAAUUUGAAUGACUUGAACAAUUCCAGCCUGUUUAAGACUGAACGGGAUUAUGCUAGACCCAGGUCUGACAUUGAAAUUCUAUUUCGUUUGGACCUGGGCAUGUUCUCAUCAUAUCUUGUUAUCACAUUGUGUUGAUUUUUCAUUACCCUUGGGCUUAUUCUUGAGCCUAAAGGCUUGUUUAGCUUAAAGUUGUUGUUUAGGCCAAUGGCAGAUUUGCCUCAGUCCAAUAAUAAUUUAUUUUGGAAUCAACUUGUUUUUCGAGACAAAAUAAUAAGAUUCUAUUUCGAGGCUUGUUGUUGUUAUUGUUGUUGUUGUUGUUGUUGUUGUGGUUGUUUUAUUCUUAGCCCCACAGUGGGUACCAAACUGUUUACCCUCAAAUUUGGAUAACAAUUAAAUUUAUAAGUGAUAGAUUGAAUUUUAAAUAAGCGAACAACAAUAAAGUAAAUUCAACCCGUAUGACUUGAAUAGUUAUAGCCUUGAAAAGUAAGUCUCACUCAAACUAGAUGCAAUUCAAAAGAUAUAAGAUACAGAAGAACAAUAGCUUGCAGAGAGAAAAUUAUAUUAUAAUGUAUUGGGAUGCAUGUAACAAUGUUUGUAAUAAAUUAUCAAACCCACUUUAUAUAGUAGAGGAGUCCUACUCUAGUUGCAUCAUUUUAUAUUAUAAAGGUGAAGACCCUAAGUCAAAGUUAAAAGACUAAAAUGGUCAUGUAAAAUUGAAUAACCAUUUUGCCCUUCAAUAAAAUACUAGUCCUCCUAUAAGCUAAUGUAUAAACUCAUCAAAAUAUUUAAUAAUAAAUAUGUCAUCAUCAAGAAUCAUAAAGAUAACAAAAUUAUCGUCUUAUAUUACCUAACAUUAUUAGAUGAUUUAUCUUAUAAUGUGAAUCAGAACAACAUGUUAAGUGAAUUAAAUUACAGUGCAAACAAACAAACACUGAUAUAAGUAUCUCAUCAAGUUCCUAGAGUUAUUAUAAGUUACUUUAGAUACAUAUCCACAAUCUUAGUAUUCACAUUAAAAUAUAGCAAAAAUCUUUUUUAAAGCAUCAUGUUUACCCAAAUCGAAAAGUAAGGAUUUGCAUGAAAUCAAAAAGAAAGUUUGGGACAGGGAGAUAGCACAAGCAAAAAGCUAGAGUAAGAAUGACGAGAGACCAUAUUUAAAAAAUAAAAAUAAUAACAAUGCGUUUUUAUGACGCCUAAAUUAGGUCUUCCAAACAAUAAAUUAUAAUUACACUAUUGACUGAAGCAAAAUAAUUCAAGAUGCUUAAUCAACCAUAUUUUAAUAGAGUGAUGAAAGGAAUAUAUCAAAAUUUUCUGUAUUGAUUAAUGAAUCCUUCAUUACAAGAAUGCCUAGAUUUAUAUAAGUAUAUACCUAAUAAAAGAGAGCUAGGAACGAAAAUAAAAAAUUAAAGAAUUCCAUAAAACCUGUACACUUGUCUUCUUUAUAUUAGAUUAAAACUAACAAACUAACCAACUAAUAUUCUCUACAAUCUCUGAUACGUGUGAGCCCAUCUACACAUAUGAGAAAUUUCUAGAACUGCUCCACUAUGGACGGUCCAGAUUUCAUCCUGAUUUAUUGACUUAAGGUUUCAUUUGUUUGCCAGAAAGGUGACACCUAUAAUCUCACAUCCGAGUUCCAAAUUAGGAGACUUUGUUAUUGAACAUUCUCUUUAGAAACGCAAGAGGUUUGAUAAAGUAUUCUUUGAGAAGUCAAGAAGGCAGACCAAUUUCAAAAGCAUUAUCAGUCCUUGGUUUUUGAACUUUUACACCAGAUUAUCUCUCAACUACUGUGAAAAAGUUUUUUAAUGCAUCAAAUUCAUUACUCUUGGUAAUAAAUAAGAAGGUCCAUGAACCUUUACUGUAGUCAUCCACUAUUGUCAAAAAAAUAUUUAAAAUUAUUAUAUGUAGGAACUUUGUAAGGUCCCCAUGUGUCCACAUGAAUUAACUUAAAUACUUUCUUUGAUUUGACUCGACUUAAUGUAAAAGAAUUUCUAGUUUGCCUAGCUUUAGUUCAAAUAUCACAGAGACCUUCAGAAUAAGGAGGAAAAGAGAUAAAACUGAAAUAUUUCAUAGAUUGAAAAGACAAAUGUCCCAAUCUAAAGUGCUAUAGAUUUAUAUUAUAAGUAGCAUUUGCAGAAAAAGGAAAAAGACCUGAAACUAGACUAGGAACAUUUUGAUUUGAAACUUGAACUACAUGUGUUUCAUAACUAUCUCUAAUAUUGACUGUAUUAGGAUCCAAUAAGUAUAAUUCUUCUUUGGCUUCACAAAAAAAUUGACCCCUCUUCAUUAAAGAGGCCUGAUAAUGAGAGAAUGCACUGAAACUGUGAAGAAAACCUAUCAACAGAUCGUACAUUGUAUUUGAAAGAAGGGACAUGAAGUAAAUUAUCUAAAAUAUAAUCAGAAAGAAUAGAGACUCUACCUAUGUAAGUGACUGCUACCCUAAUAGAAUUAGGGAGAUUAAUAUGUAAGGGAACGGGAAGAAGGGUUAGAGAAACAAAAGCAUUUGAGUCGCAACAUAUAUGUUCUGAAGCACCUGAAUCUAUUAUCAAUGUAUUUCAAUUAAAAAAUGAAAAACAUAUCCAAGAAUAUUUGAUUAUAGUACCAGCCACUACAUUAGUAUUAAUCUCUGAAUUUGAGAUUCAUGUGUCUCCAAUUUUGACAUGUUUGAUCAAUUGAACCAAUUGUGAAAACGGAUCUUUGGAAAAAUGCUCGUUUAGUUCUUCGGUACAGUUGUUUGUGUUAUCAUCUCCCUGUUCCCCUGAGAAUGCUCUGUUGCUUCUAACUGUGCCUUGUCCUAUUUUUCCAUUGGUAAAUUGAAAAUCUUCUGAAAAUCCUAUUAUCCCGUAGCAAUCUGCCAUUGUAUGGCCUGUCUUUUUGCAAUAGAUGCAUGAAACAUUAUGGUUAAAUUUUAUUUUCUUUACAAACGAUGGCUUCUAAGAUGGAUUACCAGACCUUUGAAAUCCAUUCCCGUACUUCUGGUUUUGACCUGUGAAUUUGUGUUUUCCAUUCAUUUGUGAAAAACUUGUUUGAUUUGCAAAACCACCCUAAAUGUUUGUUUGAUUUCCUACCAUGAAGGAUGAAGUCUCACUAGUGAUGAAUGAAUUAUUAUAAACCUCUUUUUGGUUUUCAUCCUGCAAAAUCGAUGAAUAGGCUUGAUCAAUGCUAGGCAGACGGCUUGCAUGAUAAUAUUUCCUCUAGCUUGACCAUAUGCCUUAUUUAAUCUCAUGAGAAACUGAAAGAGUCUCACAUCUUCUUGUGAUUUCUCAUUUGUUUUCUUUUUUUCAUAGACACAAUUGCAAGUGCACGUGAUGUUGGAGUUGAGUGAAUCUGGUUAUACCAUAAACGCUUGAAUUAGGUGAAAUAAGUUGCAAUGUCAUUUUUUCCUUGAGUUAAUAGGAAUAAGUUUCCUAUGCUUUGAGUAUAAAGUUCUUCAAAAUAGUCUCAAAAUGCUCACAGGUUGUGCGUGAUUGCAUGUUUGAUGGAUAAAGUAACAAAAUGUUAAAGAUCAGCUCAAAAAGGAGUGACACCUGCUCAAGUAUCA